UGGACGCCAGUCUGCGUGGAGCCAACCUUGAAAUACCACCCUUUAAUGUUUGAUGUUCUAACGUGGACCCGUAAUCCGGGUUGCGGACAGUGUCUGGUGGGUAGUUUGACUGGGGCGGUCUCCUCCCAAAGCGUAACGGAGGAGCACGAAGGUUAGCUAAUCCUGGUCGGACAUCAGGAGGUUAGUGCAAAGGCAUAAGCUAGCUUGACUGCGAGAGUGACAGCUCGAGCAGGUGCGAAAGCAGGUCUUAGUGAUCCGGUGGUUCUGAAUGGAAGGGCCAUCGCUCAACGGAUAAAAGGUACUCCGGGGAUAACAGGCUGAUACCGCCCAAGAGUUCAUAUCGACGGCGGUGUUUGGCACCUCGAUGUCGGCUCAUCACAUCCUGGGGCUGAAGUAGGUCCCAAGGGUAUGGCUGUUCGCCAUUUAAAGUGGUACGCGAGCUGGGUUUAGAACGUCGUGAGACAGUUCGGUCCCUAUCUGCCGUGGGCGUUGGAAGAUUGAGAGGGGUUGCUCCUAGUACGAGAGGACCGGAGUGAACGCACCACUGGUGUACGGGUUGUGAUGCCAAUUGCAUUGCCCGGUAGCUAAGUGCGGAAGAGAUAACCGCUGAAAGCAUCUAAGCGGGAAACUUGCCUCGAGAUGAGUCUUCCCUGGGCACUAGAUGCCCCUGAAGGGCCGUUGAAGACGACGACGUAGAUAGGCUGGGUGUGUAAGCGUAGCGAUACGUUGAGCUAACCAGUACUAAUGACCCGAGAGGCUUAACCUUACAACACCGAAGGUGUUU
This 784-nucleotide ribosomal RNA is filed under the name Pectobacterium odoriferum. RNAcentral's name for it is "bacterial LSU rRNA". It matches the Rfam family "Bacterial large subunit ribosomal RNA", at positions 2165 to 2925 of the family's 2925-position model. Lineage: Bacteria; Pseudomonadati; Pseudomonadota; Gammaproteobacteria; Enterobacterales; Pectobacteriaceae. The record is from RNAcentral.